RNAcentral lists this ribosomal RNA (253 nucleotides) under uncultured bacterium. RNAcentral describes it as "partial 16S ribosomal RNA". It matches the Rfam family "Bacterial small subunit ribosomal RNA", at positions 524 to 776 of the family's 1533-position model. The record is from RNAcentral.
UACGAAGGGGGCUAGCGUUGCUCGGAAUUACUGGGCGUAAAGGGCGCGUAGGCGGCGCUGUUAGUCAGGCGUGAAAGCCCUGGGCUCAACCUGGGGACUGCGCUUGAUACGGCAGUGCUAGAGGAUGGAAGAGGGUCGCGGAAUUCCCAGUGUAGAGGUGAAAUUCGUAGAUAUUGGGAGGAACACCAGUGGCGAAGGCGGCUUCCUGGCCUGUUCUUGACGCUGAGGCGCGAAAGCUAGGGGAGCAAACGGG